UCUAAGGAUAAUUUCGGAAACCUGCACUUUUAUCGUAAACUUUGUUUAGUUUUGAGAGAUCUACUCUCAAACUUGUUCUUUGAAAACUAGAUAAUAUCUUUUAUUUCUUUGUUAAUUAAAAUAACCGAGAACACCGCGUUUUAAAGAGUUUAAAACAUUUAAUGUUUGAUCGCUAAACUCAUAACCAUUAUCGUAAGAUAAUAUAGGUUAAGUUAUUAAGGGCGCAUGGUGGAUGCCUUGGCACUAGGAGCCGAUGAAGGACGUGACUAACUGCGAUAAGCUUCGGGGAGUUGUAAGUAAACUGUGAUCCGGAGAUUUC
This 319-nucleotide unclassified non-coding RNA is filed under the name uncultured bacterium. RNAcentral describes it as "partial contains 16S ribosomal RNA, 16S-23S ribosomal RNA intergenic spacer, and 23S ribosomal RNA". The stretch from base 206 to 319 matches the Rfam family "Bacterial large subunit ribosomal RNA", at positions 1 to 114 of the family's 2925-position model. The record is from RNAcentral.